RNAcentral lists this ribosomal RNA (497 nucleotides) under uncultured bacterium. RNAcentral's name for it is "partial 16S ribosomal RNA". It matches the Rfam family "Bacterial small subunit ribosomal RNA", at positions 28 to 507 of the family's 1533-position model. The record is from RNAcentral.
GAUGAACGCUGGCGGCGUGCCUAAUACAUGCCAGUCGAGCGAACAGAUGAGGAGCUUGCUCCUCUGACGUUAGCGGCGGACGGGUGAGUAACACGUGGAUAACCUACCUAUAAGACUGGGAUAACUUCGGGAAACCGGAGCUAAUACCGGAUAAUAUAUUGAACCGCAUGGUUCAAUAGUGAAAGACGGUUUUGCUGUCACUUAUAGAUGGAUCCGCGCCGCAUUAGCUAGUUGGUAAGGUAACGGCUUACCAAGGCAACGAUGCGUAGCCGACCUGAGAGGGUGAUCGGCCACACUGGAACUGAGACACGGUCCAGACUCCUACGGGAGGCAGCAGUAGGGAAUCAUCCGCAAUGGGCGAAAGCCUGACGGAGCAACGCCGCGUGAGUGAUGAAGGUCUUCGGAUCGUAAAACUCUGUUAUUAGGGAAGAACAAAUGUGUAAGUAACUAUGCACGUCUUGACGGUACCUAAUCAGAAAGCCACGGCUAACUACGUG